CAUUAGAGAGGCUUGAUGAGGAGAGGUGAUGAGGGGUGACAGGAUGGGUGUAGUUAGUUUGAGAGGCUUGAUGAAGAGAGGUGAUGAGGGGUGACCGGAUGGGUGUAGUUAGUUAGAGAGGCUUGAUGAGGAGAGGUGAUGAGGGGUGACCGGAUGGGUGUUGUUAGUUAGAGAGGCUUGAUGAGGAUGGGUAUUGAUCGGUGAUAGGAUGGGUGUAGUUAGUUAGAGAGGCUUGAUGAGGAGGGGUGAUGAGGGGUGACCGGAUGGGUGUUGUUAGUUAGAGAGGCUUGAUGAGGAGGGGUGAUGAGGGGUGACCGGAUGGGUGUAGUUAGUUUGAGAGGCUUGAUGAGGGGUGACAGGAUGGGUGUAGUUAGUUAGAGAGACUUGAUGAGGAGGGGUGAUGAGGGGUGACAGGAUGGGUGUAGUUAGAGAGUAUUGAUGAGGAGAGGUGAUAAGGGGUGACAGGAUGGGUGUGGGUAGAUAGAGAGGCUUGAUGAGGAGAGGUGUUGAGGGAUGACAGGAUGGGUGUAGUUAGUUAGAGAGUAAUGAUGAGGAGAGGUGAUGAGGGGUGACAGGAUGGGUGUAGUUAGGUAGAGAGGCUUGAUGAGGAGAGGUGAUGAAGGGUGACAGGAUGGGUGUAGUUAGUGAGAGAGUAAAGAUGAGGAGAGGUGAUAAGGGGUGACAGGAUGGGUGUAGUUAGUUGGAGAGGCUUGAUGAGGAUGGGUAUUGAUCGGUGAUAGGAUUGGUGUAGUUAGUUAGAGAGGGUUGAUGAGGAGGAGUGAUGAGGGGUGACCGGAUGGGUGUUGUUAGUUAGAGAGGCUUGAUAAGGAGGGGUGAUGAGGGGUGACAGGAUGGGUGUAGUUAGUGAGAGAGUAAAGAUGAGUAGAGGUGAUAAGGGGUGACAGGAUGGGUGUAGUUAGUUGGAGAGGCUUGAUGAGGAUGGGUAUUGAUCGGUGAUAGGAUUGGUGUAGUUAGUUAGAGAGGGUUGAUGAGGAGGGGUGAUGAGGGGUGACCGGAUGGGUGUUGUUAGUUAGAGAGGCUUGAUGAGGAGGGGUGAUGAGGGGUGACCGGAUGGGUGUAGUUAGUUAGAGAGGCUUGAUGAGGAGAGGUGAUGAGGGGUGACAGGAUGGAUGUAGUUAGUUAGAGAGGAUUGAUGAGGAGAGGUGAUGAGGGGUGACAGGAUGGGUGUAGUUCGUUAGAGAGGCUUGAUGUGGAGAGGUGAUGAGGGGUGACAGGAUGGGUGUAGUUAGUUCGAGAGGUGAUGAGGGGUGACAGGAUGGGUGUAGUUAGUUAGAGAGACUUGAUGAGGAGGGGUGAUGAGGGGUGACAGGAUGGGUGUAGUUUGAGUGUAUUGAUGAGGAGAGGUGAUAAGGGGUGACAGGAUGGGUGUAGGUAGAUAGAGAGGCUUGAUGAGGAGAGGUGAUGAGGGGUGACAGGAUGGGUGUAGUUAGAGAGGAUUGACAAGGAGGGGUGAUGGGGGUGACAGGAUGGGUGUAGUUAGUUAGAGAGGCUUGAUGAGGAGGGGUGACAGGAUGGGUGUAGUUAGUUAGAGGCUUGAUGAGGAGGGGUGAUGAGGGGUGACAGAUGGGUGUAGUUAGUUAGAGAGGCUUGAUGAGGAGAGGUGAUGAGGGGUGACAGGAUGGGUGUAGUUAGUUAGAGAGGUGAUGAGUGGUGACAGGAUGGGUGUAGUUCGUUAGAGAGGCUUGAUGAGGAGAGGUGAUGAGGGGUGACAGAAUGGGUGUAGUUAGUUAGAGAGACUUGAUGAGGAGGGGUAUUGAGGGGUGACAGGGUGGGUGUAGUUAGUUAGAUAGGCUUGAUGAGGAGAGGUGAUGAGGGGUGACAGGAUGGGUGUAGUUAGUUAGAGAGGUGAUGAGGGAUGACAGGAUGGGUGUAGUUCGUUAGAGAGACUUGAUGAGGAGAGGUGAUGAGGGGUGACAGGAUGGGUGUAGUUAGUUAGAGAGACUUGAUGAGGAGGGGUGAUGAGGGGUGACAGGAUGGGUGUAGUUAGAGAGGAUUGACAAGGAGGGGUGAUGGGGGUGACAGGAUGGGUGUAGUUAGUUAGAGAGGCUUGAUGAGGAGAGGUGAUGAGGGGUGACAGGAUGGGUGUAGUUAGUUAGAGGCUUGAUGAGGAGGGUGAUGAGGGGUGACAGGAUUGGUGUAGUUAGUUAGAGAGGCUUGAUGAGGAGAGGUGAUGAGGUGUGACAGGAUGGGUGCAGUUAGUUAGAGAGGCUUGAUGAGGAGGGGUGAUGAGGGGUGACCGGAUGGGUGUUGUUAGUUAGAGAGGCUUGAUGAGGAGGGGUGAUGAGGGGUGACCGGAUGGGUGUAGUUAGUUAGAGAGGCUUGAUGAGGAGAAGUGAUGAGGGGUGACAGGAUGGGUGUAGUUAGUUAGAGAGGUGAUGAGGGGUGACAGGAUGGGUGUAGUUCCUUAGAGAGGCUUGAUGAGGAGAGGUGAUGAGGGGUGACAGGAUGGGUGUAGUUAGUUACAGAGACUUGAUGAGGAGGGGGUAUUGAGGGGUGACAGGGUGGGUGUAGUUAGUUAGAUAGGCUUGAUGAGGAGAGGUGAUGAGGGGUGACAGGAUGGGUGUAGUUAGUUGGAGAGGCUUGAUGAGGAUGGGUAUUGAUCGGUGAUAGGAUGGGUGUAGUUAGUUAGAGAGGCUUGAUGAGGAGGGGUGAUGAGGGGUCACCGGAUGGGUGUAGUUAGUUAGAGAGGCUUGAUGAGGAGAGGUGAUGAGGGGUGACAGGAUGGAUGUAGUUAGUUAGAGAGGCUUGAUGAGGAGAGGUGAUGAGGGGUGACAGGAUGGAUGUAGUUAGUUAGAGAGGCUUGAUGAGGAGAGGUGAUGAGGGGUGACAGGAUGGGUGUAGUUAAUUAGAGAGGUGAUGAGGGGUGACAGGAUGGGUGUAGUUAGUUAGAGAAACUUGAUGAGGAGGGGUGAUGAGGGGUGACAGGAUGGGUGUAGUUAGAGAGUAUUGAUGAGGAGAGGUGAUAAGGUGUGACAGGAUGGGUGUAGGUAGAUAGAGAGGCUUGAUGAGGAGAGGUGAUGAGGGGUGACAGGAUGGGUGUAGUUAGAGAGGAUUGACAAGGAGGGGUGAUGGGGGUGACAGGAUGGGUGUAGUUAGUUAGAGAGGCUUGAUGA
This is a long non-coding RNA of Oncorhynchus keta (chum salmon), 3134 nucleotides long. RefSeq lists it as uncharacterized. Lineage: Eukaryota; Metazoa; Chordata; Actinopteri; Salmoniformes; Salmonidae. The transcript has 4 exons. The record is from RefSeq and is a predicted model, not a curated record.